UGGGGCUCGAGUUCACUCCCAACCCAAUGUGAACGUUACCAAACUGUUGCCUCGGCGGGAUCUCUGCCCCGGGCGCGUCGCAGCCCCGGACCAAGGCGCCCGCCGGAGGACCAACCCAAAACUCUUAUUGUAUACCCCCUCGCGGGUUUUUUUAUAAUCUGAGCCUUCUCGGCGCCCCUUCGUGGGCGUUUCGAAAAUGAAUCAAAACUUUCAACAACGGAUCUCUUGGUUCUGGCAUCGAUGAAGAACGCAGCGAAAUGCGAUAAGUAAUGUGAAUUGCAGAAUUCAGUGAAUCAUCGAAUCUUUGAACGCACAUUGCGCCCGCCAGUAUUCUGGCGGGCAUGCCUGUCCGAGCGUCAUUUCAACCCUCGAACCCCUCCGGGGGGUCGGCGUUGGGGAUCGGCCCUCCCUCGCGGGGAGCCGUCUCCGAAAUACAGUGGCGGUCUCGCCGCAGCCUCUCCUGCGCAGUAGUUUGCACACUCGCACCGGGAGCGCGGCGCGUCCACAGCCGUUAAACACCCAACUUCUGAAAUGUUGACCUCGGAUCAGGUAGGAAUACCCGCUGAACUUAAGCAUAUCAA
Molecule: ribosomal RNA, 581 nt
Filed under: Trichoderma pleuroticola
Lineage: Eukaryota; Fungi; Ascomycota; Sordariomycetes; Hypocreales; Hypocreaceae
Description: eukaryotic LSU rRNA
Rfam family: 5.8S ribosomal RNA (bases 206-359)
Source: RNAcentral